GAUGAAGAACGCAGCGAAAUGCGAUACGUAAUGUGAAUUGCAGAAUUCAGUGAAUCAUCGAGUCUUUGAACGCACAUUGCGCCCCCUGGUAUUCCGGGGGGCAUGCCUGUCCGAGCGUCAUUGCUGCCCUCAAGCACGGCUUGUGUGUUGGGCCUCCGUCCUCCUCCCGGGGGACGGGCCCGAAAGGCAGCGGCGGCACCGCGUCCGGUCCUCGAGCGUAUGGGGCUUCGUCACCCGCUCUUGUAGGCCCGGCCGGCGCUUGCCGACACAUCAAUCUUUUUUCCAGGUUGACCUCGGAUCAGGUAGGGAUACCCGCUGAACUUAAGCAUAUCAAUAAGCGGAUGA
RNAcentral lists this unclassified non-coding RNA (345 nucleotides) under soil metagenome. RNAcentral's name for it is "partial contains 5.8S ribosomal RNA, internal transcribed spacer 2, and large subunit ribosomal RNA". The stretch from base 1 to 120 matches the Rfam family "5.8S ribosomal RNA", at positions 35 to 154 of the family's 154-position model. The record is from RNAcentral.